AUGGCGGCGACAUCCUUGUGGUGGACAUGUGUCCUCGGGCUUCGCCGUUGCGACAGCGUCUGCUCCAACUCGGCGCGGAGUUUGGGAGGUAAUCGAGGAGCGGAUGCUGAUUGUGGUGUGCUUCGACGACAUCUGGAAGAAGGAACAUGUGCUGGGUUCGUGGAUGACAGGUAUGGUUUCCUCCUCCGACGUCUUAGUCAUGUGAGGGUGCUAGAUCUGGAGUUCGAUGGCGUGUCUAGGGUGUUACCCCGGUCUGAUUCGUUCAAUAGUACCUUUGGCGAGCCAUCUUGGAGGUCCGCAAAGCUGCAUAUCAUCGAUGGAGCCGUGUCGAGCACGGAUGAGGAGGUGAUCUGUCAUUUUUUUUUCGGCGGCUGCUGUGGUGGUGCCGAAGGCAGGUGGGCCAGGGCGCUCGAAUCUGUAUGCAGCAGCAACGUCCGUGAUAUGAGCUGUGGAUGGAACGCGAAAGGAAAUGCCGUUGUCGUUGCAACCUCUGCUCCUAUAUAUGCGCACACCGGCCGGGCAAUUAUCUUAACAAAUCAAGUGGACGAGUCUCUUGGCUCUUGCUCCCGCCGCCAUCCAUCCUGGCUAUUCCCAAAACUGAUCUCAUGUGCUGGCCCUGGCAUGUCCGCGACCCCGUGGCACCCGCCGGAAACGGCGGAGUCCUCCUCGGGCUUGUCGUCCUCCUCGUCCUAUCCCCCGGCGGCAGCAGCUCAGCAUCCGGCGUGCUCCGCGUGCAAGCACCAGCGCCGAAAGUGCACGCCGGGGUGCCCGCUUGCGCCCUACUUCCCCGCGGACAAGCCCGGGAGCUUCCGCAACUCCCACCGCCUCUUCGGCAUCAAAAACAUACUCCGGUUCCUGACGAGAGCCGGCCCGGAGAAGCGGGACGAUUGCAUGAAAUCCAUACUGUACGAGGCCGACGCCCGUGCUUCCGAUCCGGUGCUCGGCACGUACGGCCUCUUACAGAGUCACCAGCGAGAGCUUGCCUUGGCGACGGCCGAACUCGUGGCCUUAAAGGAGCAGCUGGAGUUGCACGGGCACGCCGCGCAGCACCGCUCGGCGCCGGACGCUCUGGGCUUCCUCUCGCCGGUCCAGCCGUGGAUGCCGCAGCCGCCGUCGAUGUAUCCGAUACAGGAGGGGCAGCAGCAGCCGAUCUACGGUAGCUACGUACUAGCUGGUGCUGCGAAGGUCGACGAGGACGCGACAAUCGGCGUGAAGCUUGACGAGGACGAUGUGAUGCCAAUGCAACAUGAUGAUCAUGCCGAGGGCUGUACAACACACUACGGUAGAUUAGAGCCGUCAUCGUCAUCGAGCUACCGGUCUUCGGAUACUUCGCCUCGCGGACUUCUGAACCGUCGCGCUUUAGGUUUAAAGUACAAUCCUGGUUAA
Molecule: ribosomal RNA, 1386 nt
Filed under: Triticum aestivum (bread wheat)
Lineage: Eukaryota; Viridiplantae; Streptophyta; Magnoliopsida; Poales; Poaceae
Description: partial small subunit ribosomal RNA
Source: RNAcentral